AUACAUAGGGGGCAAGCGUUGUCCGGAAUGACUGGGCGUAAAGGGUGUGUAGGCGGUUUCGCAAGUUGGAAGUGUAAUACCUAGAGCUUAACUCAGGUGCUGCUUCCAAAACUGCGAGACUUGAGUGUCGGAGAGGAAAAUGGAAUUCCUAGUGUAGCGGUGGAAUGCGUAGAUAUUAGGAGGAACACCAGAGGCGAAAGCGAUUUUCUGGACGAUAACUGACGCUGAGGCACGAAAGCGU
Molecule: ribosomal RNA, 241 nt
Filed under: uncultured bacterium
Lineage: Bacteria
Description: partial 16S ribosomal RNA
Rfam family: Bacterial small subunit ribosomal RNA
Source: RNAcentral